AGAGUUUGAUCCUGGCUCAGGACGAACGUUGGCGGUGCGCUUAAUGCAUGCAAGUCGAGGGAGAACCAGUCGUUCCGUAAGGUUCGGCUGGGGAAACCGGCGAACGGGUGCGUAACACGUGAGGAACCUGCCCCGAAGACUGGGAUAGCCCGAGGAAACUCGGAUUAAUACCGGAUACCCUCUUUGGACCACAUGGUCUGUUGAGGAAAUGGUCCGCUGCUUCGGGAUGGCCUCGCGGCCUAUCAGCUUGUUGGUGAGGUAAUGGCUCACCAAGGCAAAGACGGGUAGCUGGUCUGAGAGGACGAUCAGCCACACUGGGACUGAGACACGGCCCAGACUCCUACGGGAGGCAGCAGCAGGGAAUAUUGCACAAUGGGCGAAAGCCUGAUGCAGCGACACCGCGUGCGGGAUGAAGGCCUUCGGGUUGUAAACCGCUUUCAGGAGGGACGAAAAUGACGGUACCUCCAGAAGAAGGCCCGGCCAACUACGUGCCAGCAGCCGCGGUAAUACGUAGGGGCCAAACGUUGUCCGGAUUUAUUGGGCGUAAAGGGCUCGUAGGCGGUUCAACAAGUCGGUCGUGAAAGCCCGGGGCUCAACCCCGGGACGCCGGUCGAAACUGUUGUGACUAGGGUCCGGUAGAGGUGAGUGGAAUUCUCGGUGUAGCGGUGGAAUGCGCAGAUAUCGAGAGGAACACCAGUAGCGAAGGCGGCUCACUGGGCCGGUACCGACGCUGAGGAGCGAAAGCAUGGGGAGCAAACAGGAUUAGAUACCCUGGUAGUCCAUGCCGUAAACGAUGAACACUAGGUGUGGCGGACUCAUUGACGUCUGCCGUGCCGAAGCUAACGCAUUAAGUGUUCCGCCUGGGGAGUACGGCCGCAAGGCUAAAACUCAAAGGAAUUGACGGGGCCCCGCACAAGCGGUGGAGCAUGUGGUUUAAUUCGACGCAACGCGAAGAACCUUACCUGGAUUUGACAUCCCGGGAAUCCUAUCGAAAGACUGGAGUGCCCUUCGGGGAACCCGGAGACAGGUGCUGCAUGGCUGUCGUCAGCUCGCGUCGUGAGAUGUUGGGUUAAGUCCCGCAACGAGCGCAACCCUUGUCUUUAGUUACCAUCAUUCAGUUGGGGACUCUAAAGAUACUGCCCCGGUCAACGGGGAGGAAGGUGGGGAUGACGUCAAGUCCUCAUGGCCUUUAUGUCCAGGGCUACACACGUGCUACAAUGGGCUGUACAAAGGGUCGCGAACCCGCGAGGGUAAGCCAAUCCCAAAAAGCAGUCCCAAGUUCGGAUUGGAGUCUGCAACUCGACUCCAUGAAGCUGGAAUCGCUAGUAAUCGCGGAUCAGCAUGCCGCGGUGAAUACGUUCCCGGGCCUUGUACACACCGCCCGUCACACCAUGAGAGUUGGUUGUACCAGAAGUCGUCGGGCUAACCUUUACAGGAUGCAGGCGCCUAAGGUAUGGCUGAUAAUUAGGGUGAAGUCGUAACAAGGUA
RNAcentral lists this ribosomal RNA (1488 nucleotides) under metagenome. Its description in RNAcentral is "bacterial SSU rRNA". It matches the Rfam family "Bacterial small subunit ribosomal RNA". The record is from RNAcentral.